Molecule: long non-coding RNA, 444 nt
Filed under: Androctonus crassicauda
Lineage: Eukaryota; Metazoa; Arthropoda; Arachnida; Scorpiones; Buthidae
Source: RNAcentral
CAGAAGUUAUGAUGUUGGGAAAAAGUUCCCGUUCUGACCAUCCUCAGUACCAAAGUCGAUUUUGUUUACUUCAUCGGAACUUUCUUGUAUCUCUACUUCUACUAAAGCAAAGCCAGCGUGACGGAAACAAUUUUGAAUUGUUGUUUAACUUUGUGACGUGCUCGGGCCCUCGGCCGCGAACCCGCCUUGAGUUCGACCCCGGUCCUCAUCACUUGUUCGUCUUUUGAUCUUAAUACUGAUCUCCCAUUUCAUGUCUCGAAGCCAACGUAACACACCAAAACAAUCCAUACUAGACUUGUUAGACGUAGAUUUAUUAGUAUGACCAAAAAUAAAUUUUGCAUCAAAAUUAACAAAGUUAGAAAAAAUACCAAUAAACACGUAGACACUAGUACACUGGUUAGCACAAUGAUGAUGCCGUUAAUGAUACAUAAGCCAACUUCCGAC